UAGGGUCAUAUAGGGCUCUAUUAGAUCUAUGGGGCUCUAUGGGUUCCUGUGGGGGUCUAUGGGGUUCUAUGGGGCUCUGUUGGGGUCUAUUGGGAUCUGUUGGGGUUUAUGGGGCUCUAUGGGGGUUUAUUGGGGUCUAUGGGGCUCUAUGGGGGUCUAUUGGGGUCUAUGGGGCUCUAUGGGGGUCAAUCUAUGGGGCUCUAUGGGGCUCUAUUGGGGUCUAUGGGGCUCUAUGGGGGUCAAUGGGGCUCUAUGGGGCUCUGUUGGGGUCUAUGGGGGUCAAUGGGGCUCUAUGGGGGUCUAUUGGGGUCUAUGGGUCUCCAUGGGGUCUCAAUGGGUCUCUAUGGGGCUCUAUUGGAUCUAUGGGGCCCUAUGGGGCUCUAUGGGGUCCUGUGGGGGUCUACGGGGUCAUAUGGGUCCCUAUGGGGUUCUAUUGGGGUCUAUGGGGCUCUAUGGGGGUCUGUUGGGGUCUAUGGGGCUCUAUGGGGCUCUUGGGGUCCUGUGGGGGUCUAUGGGGUCCUAUGGGGCUCUAUGGGGGUUUAUUGGGGUCUAUGGGGCUCUAUGGGGGUCUAUUGGGGUCUAUGGGGCUCUAUGGGGUCCUAUGGGGGUCUAUGGGGCUCUAUGGGGUCUCUAUGGGUCUCUAUGGGGCUCUAUUAGAUCUAUGGGGUCCUAUGGGGCUCUAUGGGGUCCUGUGGGGGUCUACGGGGUCAUAUGGGUCCCUAUGGGGUUCUAUGGGGCUCUAUGGGGUCCUAUGGGGCCCUAUGGGGCUCUAUGGUGCCCUAUGGGGCCCUAUGGGGCACAGACACAUAACCCUGCCCCCCUUUUAUAUCCCCCCCCCCCAGGUUCUCCAUAGGGUCCCAGCGUUGGACUCAGGUGUUGGCUGGGGGUCCUAUGGGGAGCCCGGGACCCCCAAGUCGGGCCUUCCACGCGGCCGCCAUGUUUCCCCCCAGCGGCCCCAUGGUGAUCCAUGGGGGGCUCAGGGUGGGGGGCGGCGUGGGGGGGGACGCGUGGGAGCUGCAGCUCCAUAGUCUGCAAUGGAGGCAGCACCGGGUGAGUGGGGGGAGAU
RNAcentral lists this long non-coding RNA (1066 nucleotides) under Coturnix japonica (Japanese quail). RNAcentral describes it as "lncRNA (ENSCJPG00005000909.1)". Lineage: Eukaryota; Metazoa; Chordata; Aves; Galliformes; Phasianidae. The record is from RNAcentral.